UUUUUAUUUAUCGAUUAUUAUAAUAAUGUUUCAUGUUUGUGACUAUCGCGUUAGCCAGAAGUCAUAACUCAUCAAAAUACACAAUGUUCACAUAUCAUAUACCUCUAACAAGUAACAACCCAAGUGGCUAAGUAUAUAUAAAAUUAUAACGCUGUUGUCGAGUUGAUAGGAUAUCUAUAUAAAAACUACUUACAGAACUUUAACAUAAAUCCAUUAAAUUCAAUUUUCCAAGGAUUCUGUGACCAUCAGCUUUAUUUAAAGCGGAAAUUGAAAUCGCGGUACUUUAUCAUUAUCAGUGCAAACUAUGUUCAAUGUCGUGUUUCCAGCAAGUUUCCUGACCAACAGGCACUAGCGUUGUAACAACAAAGAGCAAAUAUUUUUUCUUAAGCUACAGAAUUUCAACAAAGAAGUUUAGACAAAGGCUUGUUUGCACUGUUUAAC
Molecule: long non-coding RNA, 441 nt
Organism: Aphis gossypii (cotton aphid)
Lineage: Eukaryota; Metazoa; Arthropoda; Insecta; Hemiptera; Aphididae
Exons: 4
Source: RefSeq, a predicted model, not a curated record